GUGGUGGCUCAGUGGUUAAGAGCACUGACUGCUCUUCCAGAGGUCCUGAGUUCAAUUCCCAGCAACCACA
Molecule: transfer RNA, 70 nt
Filed under: Rattus norvegicus (Norway rat)
Lineage: Eukaryota; Metazoa; Chordata; Mammalia; Rodentia; Muridae
Rfam family: tRNA
About the family: Transfer RNA (tRNA) molecules are approximately 80 nucleotides in length. Their secondary structure includes four short double-helical elements and three loops (D, anti-codon, and T loops).
Source: Rfam by way of RNAcentral